This 108-nucleotide ribosomal RNA is filed under the name uncultured archaeon. RNAcentral describes it as "partial 16S ribosomal RNA". The record is from RNAcentral.
AACUUCCAAUGCACGAAAGUGUGAUGAGGUCAUCCCGAGUCCUAUGCUUACGUCUAGGUUUUCUGGAGUGNGAAUAGCUUCAGGAAUAAAGNGGGGGCAAGAACGGNG